GGGUGUGUGGCCUAAUGAAUAAGGCACCAGACUUUGGAUCUGGGGAUUGCAGGUUCGAGUCCUGUCACGCUCG
This 73-nucleotide transfer RNA is filed under the name Eurytemora carolleeae. RNAcentral describes it as "transfer RNA glutamine (anticodon UUG)". It matches the Rfam family "tRNA". From Rfam's summary of the family: Transfer RNA (tRNA) molecules are approximately 80 nucleotides in length. Their secondary structure includes four short double-helical elements and three loops (D, anti-codon, and T loops). Lineage: Eukaryota; Metazoa; Arthropoda; Copepoda; Calanoida; Temoridae. The record is from RNAcentral.